RNAcentral lists this ribosomal RNA (434 nucleotides) under uncultured eukaryote. RNAcentral describes it as "bacterial SSU rRNA". It matches the Rfam family "Eukaryotic small subunit ribosomal RNA", at positions 592 to 1018 of the family's 1831-position model. The record is from RNAcentral.
CAAUAGCGUAUGUCAAAGUUGUUGCGGUUGAAAAGCUCGUAGUUGGAUCUCGAUGCUGGGCUGGCGGUGCGCCCGUUGUGGCGUGUCUACUGCCAGUGCCGGCGAUAAAAAGAGGCCGGCAGAUAUAUUCCCUUGGUGCUCUUGACUGAGUGGCUUGGGUGGCCGGAACGUUUACUGUGAAAAAUUAGAGUGCUCAAGGCAGGCCUACGUGCCCGAAUACUGGUGCAUGGAAUAAUGGAAUAGGACUACGGUCUCUUUGUUGGUUUGAGGGACUGCAGUAAUGAUUAAUAGGGAUAGUUGGGGGCAUUAGUAUUUAAUUGUCAGAGGUGGAAUUCUCGGAUUUGUUAAAGACUAACUUAUGCGAAAGCAUUUGCCAAGGAUGUUUUCAUUAAUCAAGAACGAAAGUUAGGGGAUCAAAGAUGAUUAGAUACCAU